UUAGAAAGUGAUGUGGACAACAUG
Molecule: non-coding RNA, 24 nt
Filed under: Arabidopsis thaliana (thale cress)
Lineage: Eukaryota; Viridiplantae; Streptophyta; Magnoliopsida; Brassicales; Brassicaceae
Source: RNAcentral